AUGGCGAGCGCCAAGGCGACGAUGGGGCAGGAGAAGCAAGACCACUUCGUUCUCAAGAGCGGGCAUGCCAUGCCGGCCGUCGGGUUGGGCACCUGGAGGGCUGGCUCGGAUACUGCUCACUCCGUUCAGACGGCCAUCACCGAGGCUGGAUACAGGCAUGUGGACACAGCUGCUGAAUACGGAGUAGAAAAGGAGGUCGGCAAAGGGCUUAGAGCUGCCAUGGAAGCUGGAAUCGACAGGAAAGAUUUGUUUGUCACGUCAAAAUUAUGGUGCACGAACUUGGUCCCUGAGAGGGUGCGGCCAGCAUUAGAGAGCACGCUCAAGGAUCUACAGUUGGACUACAUCGACCUUUACCAUAUUCAUUGGCCGUUCCGGCUGAAAGAUGGGGCACACAAGCCUCCGGAAGCAGGGGAGGUGCUGGAAUUCGACAUGGAGGGGGUGUGGAAGGAGAUGGAGAACCUUGUCAAGGACGGACUGGUUAAGGACAUCGGCGUCUGCAACUACACCGUGACCAAGCUCGACCGGCUGCUACGGUCUGCAAAGAUUCCACCGGCCGUUUGCCAGAUGGAGAUGCACCCUGGUUGGAAGAACGACAAGAUGUUCGAGGCCUGCAAGAAGCGCGGGAUCCAUGUCACCGCUUACUCACCAUUGGGUUCUUCAGAGAAGAACCUUGCUCAUGACCCGGUUGUCGAAAAGGUGGCCAACAAGCUGAACAAGACCCCGGGGCAGGUGCUCAUCAGGUGGGCUCUGCAGAGGGGGACGAGUGUGAUUCCCAAGUCAAGCAAAGACGAGAGGAUCAAGGAGAACAUCCAGGUGUUCGGGUGGGAGAUCCCUGAGGAGGACUUCAAGGUCCUGUGCAGCAUCAAAGAUGAGAAGCGUGUGCUGACCGGAGAGGAGCUGUUCGUGAACAAGACCCAUGGGCCGUACAAGAGUGCAUCUGAAGUCUGGGAUCACGAGAACUGA
This 963-nucleotide ribosomal RNA is filed under the name Triticum aestivum (bread wheat). Its description in RNAcentral is "partial small subunit ribosomal RNA". The record is from RNAcentral. Lineage: Eukaryota; Viridiplantae; Streptophyta; Magnoliopsida; Poales; Poaceae.